AACAGGGAGGGUCAGGGGUGGCUGUGGCUGCUCAGGGAUGGCUUUGGCCUGAGUCCCUGGAAGGAGCCACUGCCCAAGCGGCUGCGCUGUCCCCGGGCUCUGCUCCCGGCCUUCUGGGCUCUGUUGGGUGGCACAGCCUGUGCCAAGGGGCAGCAAGGUGCCUGCAGGCCCCAGCUCAGGGGGAAACAGAGAACGUCCUGGCCGUAUCCAGCGUGCUGCCAGCUCAGCAGCAGAGCACAGCACGGGGUCACACUGCCCAUUGCUCCCACAGAUGGAGCCAGCACCACAACUCAUGUUCCUGAUUCCCAGAAGGUCAUUGAAAGGGCCUUCUGUCAGGGAACACGCUGCUAACUAGAGAUAAUGGCCAUGGUGGGAGGUGGAGAGCUUGUCUUCAUGUUGUGCUGCUUUGGAAUCUGGUAUGCCUGCAAGAGAAAACAGAGCACUUCUGGACAGCAUUUGAAGGACAGUGGCUGCACUAAA
Non-coding RNA from Cyanistes caeruleus (blue tit), 480 nucleotides. The record is from RefSeq and is a predicted model, not a curated record. Lineage: Eukaryota; Metazoa; Chordata; Aves; Passeriformes; Paridae.